RNAcentral lists this ribosomal RNA (505 nucleotides) under uncultured bacterium. RNAcentral's name for it is "partial 16S ribosomal RNA". It matches the Rfam family "Bacterial small subunit ribosomal RNA", at positions 28 to 507 of the family's 1533-position model. The record is from RNAcentral.
GACGAACGCUGGCGGCGUGCCUAAUACAUGCAAGUAGAACGCACAGUUUAUACCGUAGCUUGCUACACCAUAGACUGUGAGUUGCGAACGGGUGAGUAACGCGUAGGUAACCUGCCUGGUAGCGGGGGAUAACUAUUGGAAACGAUAGCUAAUACCGCAUAAUAUUAAUUAUUGCAUGAUAAUUAAUUGAAAGGUGCAAUUGCACCACUACCAGAUGGACCUGCGUUGUAUUAGCUAGUAGGUGAGGUAACGGCUCACCUAGGCGACGAUACAUAGCAGACCUGAGAGGGUGAUCGGCCACACUGGGAAUGAGACACGGCCCAGACUCCUACGGGAGGCAGCAGUAGGGAAUCUUCGGCAAUGGACGAAAGUCUGACCGAGCAACGCCGCGUGAGUGAAGAAGGUUUUCGGAUCGUAAAGCUCUGUUGUAAGAGAAGAACGGGUGUGAGAGUGGAAAGUUCACACUGUGACGGUAUCUUACCAGAAAGGGACGGCUAACUACGUG